CAGCACAAGAGGGUGGCAGCAGCACAGCCCAGCAGCUCGGAGUCAGGGAGCACCAGGGAGUGCCACAGCUCCUCAGUGUCUGCACUUCCAAGAGCACCAGCACCUGAGCCCAUGGUGCACACUGCUGUGCAGUCCAUUGAAGGAAUAUUGAAGGAAAUGUGCAGCCCCCUGUCCCCUCUCCUGCCAUCCCUUCAGUCACCCGAGAGAACAGAGACUUCCAAAUUUCCUGUGCAGGCAAAG
Molecule: long non-coding RNA, 240 nt
Organism: Passer domesticus (house sparrow)
Lineage: Eukaryota; Metazoa; Chordata; Aves; Passeriformes; Passeridae
Exons: 3
Source: RefSeq, a predicted model, not a curated record